MicroRNA precursor from Astyanax mexicanus (Mexican tetra), 85 nucleotides. It matches the Rfam family "mir-142 microRNA precursor family". Lineage: Eukaryota; Metazoa; Chordata; Actinopteri; Characiformes; Acestrorhamphidae. The record is from Rfam.
CAGUGCAGUCAUCCAUAAAGUAGAAAGCACUACUAAACCCCUCGCCACAGUGUAGUGUUUCCUACUUUAUGGAUGAGUGUACUGU